This 587-nucleotide ribosomal RNA is filed under the name Staphylococcus aureus. RNAcentral's name for it is "partial 23S ribosomal RNA". It matches the Rfam family "Bacterial large subunit ribosomal RNA", at positions 587 to 1173 of the family's 2925-position model. The record is from RNAcentral. Lineage: Bacteria; Bacillati; Bacillota; Bacilli; Caryophanales; Staphylococcaceae.
UAAUGGGUGAUGGCGUGCCUUUUGUAGAAUGAACCGGCGAGUUACGAUUUGAUGCAAGGUUAAGCAGUAAAUGUGGAGCCGUAGCGAAAGCGAGUCUGAAUAGGGCGUUUAGUAUUUGGUCGUAGACCCGAAACCAGGUGAUCUACCCUUGGUCAGGUUGAAGUUCAGGUAACACUGAAUGGAGGACCGAACCGACUUACGUUGAAAAGUGAGCGGAUGAACUGAGGGUAGCGGAGAAAUUCCAAUCGAACCUGGAGAUAGCUGGUUCUCUCCGAAAUAGCUUUAGGGCUAGCCUCAAGUGAUGAUUAUUGGAGGUAGAGCACUGUUUGGACGAGGGGCCCCUCUCGGGUUACCGAAUUCAGACAAACUCCGAAUGCCAAUUAAUUUAACUUGGGAGUCAGAACAUGGGUGAUAAGGUCCGUGUUCGAAAGGGAAACAGCCCAGACCACCAGCUAAGGUCCCAAAAUAUAUGUUAAGUGGAAAAGGAUGUGGCGUUGCCCAGACAACUAGGAUGUUGGCUUAGAAGCAGCCAUCAUUUAAAGAGUGCGUAAUAGCUCACUAGUCGAGUGACACUGCGCCGAAAAUGU